This is a ribosomal RNA of Oncorhynchus mykiss (rainbow trout), 119 nucleotides long. The record is from Ensembl. NCBI's taxonomy places the organism in Eukaryota, Metazoa, Chordata, Actinopteri, Salmoniformes, Salmonidae.
GCUUACGGCCACACCGGCCUGAGUACGCCUGAUCUCGUCCGAUCUCGGAAGCUAAGCAGGGUCGGGCCUGGUUAGUACUUUGAUGGGAGACCGCCUGGGAAUACCAGGUGCUGUAAGCU